This 368-nucleotide ribosomal RNA is filed under the name uncultured Haemophilus sp. Its description in RNAcentral is "bacterial SSU rRNA". It matches the Rfam family "Bacterial small subunit ribosomal RNA", at positions 527 to 896 of the family's 1533-position model. The record is from RNAcentral. Lineage: Bacteria; Pseudomonadati; Pseudomonadota; Gammaproteobacteria; Pasteurellales; Pasteurellaceae.
GGAGGGUGCGAGCGUUAAUCGGAAUAACUGGGCGUAAAGGGCACGCAGGCGGUGACUUAAGUGAGGUGUGAAAGCCCCGGGCUUAACCUGGGAAUUGCAUUUCAUACUGGGUCGCUAGAGUACUUUAGGGAGGGGUAGAAUUCCACGUGUAGCGGUGAAAUGCGUAGAGAUGUGGAGGAAUACCGAAGGCGAAGGCAGCCCCUUGGGAAUGUACUGACGCUCAUGUGCGAAAGCGUGGGGAGCAAACAGGAUUAGAUACCCUGGUAGUCCACGCUGUAAACGAUGUCGAUUUGGGGGUUGAGCUUUGAGCUUGGCGCCCGUAGCUAACGUGAUAAAUCGACCGCCUGGGGAGUACGGCCGCAAGGUUA